AGUGAACGCUGGCGGUAGGCCUAACACAUGCAAGUCGAACGGCAGCACAGUAAGAGCUUGCUCUUACGGGUGGCGAGUGGCGGACGGGGGAGGAAUACAUCGGAAUCUACUUUUUCGUUGGGGAUAAUGUCGGGAAAUUUACGCUAAUACCGCAUACGACCUACGUGUGUAGGCCGGGGAUCUUCGGACCUUGCGCGAUUGAAUGAGCCGAUGUCGGAUUAGCUAGUUGGCGGGGUAAAGGCCCACAUAGGCGACGAUCCGUAGCUGGUCUGAGAGGAUGAUCAGCCACACUGGAACUGAGACACGGUCCAGACUCCGACGGUAGGCAGCAGUGGGGAAUAUUGGACAAUGGGGGCAAGCCGGAUCCAGCCAUACCGCCUAGGUGAUGAAGGCCUUCGGGUGGUAAAGCCCUUUUGUUGGGAAAGAAAAGCAGCAGGUUAAUACCCCGCGGUUCUGACGGUACCCAGAGAAUAAGCACCGGCUAACUUCGUG
Molecule: ribosomal RNA, 492 nt
Filed under: uncultured bacterium
Lineage: Bacteria
Description: partial 16S ribosomal RNA
Rfam family: Bacterial small subunit ribosomal RNA
Source: RNAcentral